UCGGUUCACCGAGAAAUGGGAGUGGCGAACGGGUGAGUAACACGUGGGUAACCUACCCAUCAGCGGGGGAUAACACUUGGAAACAGGUGCUAAUACCGCAUAAUUCUUUUCUUCGCCUGAAGGAAAGAUGAAAGACGCUUUUGCGUCACUGAUGGAUGGACCCGCGCUGCAUUAGCUAGUUGGUGGGGUAACGGCUCACCAAGGCCACGAUGCAUAGCCGACCUGAGAGGGUGAUCGGCCACACUGGGACUGAGACACGGCCCAGACUCCUACGGGAGGCAGCAGUAGGGAAUCUUCGGCAAUGGACGAAAGUCUGACCGAGCAACGCCGCGUGAGUGAAGAAGGUUUUCGGAUCGUAAAACUCUGUUGUUAGAGAAGAAUAAGGAUGAGAGUAGAAUGUUCAUCCCUUGACGGUAUCUAACCAGAAAGCCACGGCUAACUACGUGCCAGCAGCCGCGGUAAUACGUAGGUGGCAAGCGUUGUCCGGAUUUAUUGGGCGUAAAGCGAGCGCAGGCGGUUUCUUAAGUCUGAUGUGAAAGCCCCCGGCUUAACCGGGGAGGGUCAUUGGAAACUGGGAGACUUGAGUGCAGAAGAGGAGAGUGGAAUUCCAUGUGUAGCGGUGAAAUGCGUAGAUAUAUGGAGGAACACCAGUGGCGAAGGCGACUCUCUGGUCUGUAACUGACGCUGA
RNAcentral lists this ribosomal RNA (688 nucleotides) under uncultured Enterococcus sp. RNAcentral's name for it is "bacterial SSU rRNA". It matches the Rfam family "Bacterial small subunit ribosomal RNA", at positions 75 to 749 of the family's 1533-position model. Lineage: Bacteria; Bacillati; Bacillota; Bacilli; Lactobacillales; Enterococcaceae. The record is from RNAcentral.